GAACAAGUUCUUCCCAACCGAAUCCUCAAGUUCUUUUCUCAGGCGGGAUAAGCCUUCCAAAACGCCCAGAUCUCAUCCCGUUUGGAAUGGAGUCCCAUCGUCCAUGGAUUAAGCUCAGGAAUUCAACUCCUUCCGCAUCCAAAGAACAACCAUCCGAGAUCUUCUCAAAAGCCUACAGCCGCAUCCCAAAGCCGCUUCAUCCAAACAUCCCCUGUUUCACGUGUCUUCAUCCCCAACUCUUCCGGAUCACUCCCAAAC
This 258-nucleotide long non-coding RNA is filed under the name Phoenix dactylifera (date palm). Its description in RNAcentral is "long non-coding RNA (PDAC_LNC010455)". The record is from RNAcentral. Lineage: Eukaryota; Viridiplantae; Streptophyta; Magnoliopsida; Arecales; Arecaceae.